RNAcentral lists this ribosomal RNA (517 nucleotides) under Chryseobacterium sp. GLB4. RNAcentral's name for it is "bacterial SSU rRNA". It matches the Rfam family "Bacterial small subunit ribosomal RNA", at positions 9 to 526 of the family's 1533-position model. Lineage: Bacteria; Pseudomonadati; Bacteroidota; Flavobacteriia; Flavobacteriales; Weeksellaceae. The record is from RNAcentral.
GAGUUUGAUCAUGGCUCAGGAUGAACGCUAGCGGGAGGCCUAACACAUGCAAGCCGAGCGGUAGAGAUCUUUCGGGAUCUUGAGAGCGGCGUACGGGUGCGGAACACGUGUGCAACCUGCCUUUAUCAGGGGGAUAGCCUUUCGAAAGGAAGAUUAAUACCCCAUAAUAUAUUGAGUGGCAUCACUUAAUAUUGAAAACUCCGGUGGAUAGAGAUGGGCACGCGCAAGAUUAGAUAGUUGGUGAGGUAACGGCUCACCAAGUCUGCGAUCUUUAGGGGGCCUGAGAGGGUGAUCCCCCACACUGGUACUGAGACACGGACCAGACUCCUACGGGAGGCAGCAGUGAGGAAUAUUGGACAAUGGGUGCGAGCCUGAUCCAGCCAUCCCGCGUGAAGGACGACGGCCCUAUGGGUUGUAAACUUCUUUUGUAUAGGGAUAAACCUACUCUCGUGAGAGUAGCUGAAGGUACUAUACGAAUAAGCACCGGCUAACUCCGUGCCAGCCGCCGCGGUAAUUC